CCUACGGGGGGCAGCAGUGGGGAAUAUUGGACAAUGGGGGGAACCCUGAUCCAGCGACGCCGCGUGAGUGAAGAAGUAUUUCGGUAUGUAAAGCUCUAUCGGCAGGGAAGAAAGAAAUGACGGUACCUGACUAAGAAGCCCCGGCUAACUACGUGCCAGCAGCCGCGGUAAUACGUAGGGGGCAAGCGUUAUCCGGAUUUACUGGGUGUAAAGGGAGCGUAGACGGCGAUGCAAGUCUGAAGUGAAAGGCGGGGGCCCAACCCCCGGACUGCUUUGGAAACUGUAUGGCUGGAGUGCAGGGGAGGUAAGUGGAAUGCCUAGUGUAGCGGUGAAAUGCGUAGAUAUUAGGAGGAACACCAGUGGCGAAGGCGGCUUACUGGACUGUAACUGACGUUGAGGCUCGAAAGCGUGGGGAGCAAACAGGAUUAGAUACCCGUGUAGUC
This 443-nucleotide ribosomal RNA is filed under the name uncultured bacterium. Its description in RNAcentral is "partial 16S ribosomal RNA". It matches the Rfam family "Bacterial small subunit ribosomal RNA", at positions 338 to 795 of the family's 1533-position model. The record is from RNAcentral.